RNAcentral lists this long non-coding RNA (1981 nucleotides) under Canis lupus familiaris (dog). RNAcentral describes it as "lncRNA (ENSCAFG00845019287.1)". Lineage: Eukaryota; Metazoa; Chordata; Mammalia; Carnivora; Canidae. The record is from RNAcentral.
GCAUUAUAGAUUAUAGGUUAUUAACUCUUAUAGUCAGUCUCUAGACACCCCUACUUAAGGCCUAAUUAUGGCUGCAGAGAAGAACAGAAAUGUUAUCAAUUUUGACAAUGGAAAGUAGCAUUAACAGAUACAGGGAUGUGGAAUGGGAGGGGGUAUGGAGGAAGAGGGAAGGACAGAGCCCACGAUAUCUUUAUCAAACACAUAUGAAGUUGCCAAAAUGAGAACUAAACAUUGGGUAUAUUAUUUAGCACAACAAAUGUAACCAAUACACAAACCUUAAAGCUGUAUUAGCAGUUGGAAAGAGGGAGGUAGAUAAAGUGGAAGAGGAAACUGUAAGGGAACCAAAUGUCAUGCACAACAGGGAGUAAUAAGUUAUUGUUUAAAACUGAUAAAAAGAAAAAUAGAGGGGCACUGGGUGGCUUAGUUAGUUAAGCGUCUGACUUGAGCUCAGGUCAUGAUCUUGGGGCUGUGGAAUCGAGCCCUAGGGAAGGCUCGCUGCUCAUGGGGAGUCUGCUUCUCCCUCUUCCUCAUGCUCUCCCUCCCCCCUCUCAAAUAAAUAAAUAAAAUCUAAAAGAAAAAAAAGAGAAAAAUAGACAUAUAACCCUAUUAUAAUUAAAAAGAUCAACACCAGAACAUUAUAAAUAGAUAAAUAAAUAAGCAUACAUUAUUAAAACGAUUAUGUGUGGGGAGAGGGGUUAGGCAUUGAGAAUGAAAAAGGUAAGAUUGUGGUUUUUUACUAUAAACCCUUAUGAUAUUACUUAUUUUAUCAUGUACAUGUAGUGCUUUGAAUAUACAUAUUUUAAACAGCUCUUGUGAAAUCCUUUUAGUUGACUGGCUAUUUGAACAUUCCAGUCUGUCCUGGUGAUGGUGGUGGGAUGGAUUGUAAUCAAAGAAAACUGGUUUGCCCCUAGGCAUACACAGAUGGGAAGAAAGGGUGUGGGGAAGGUGGCCAUCGGAAAGACCUUCUCAGCCAGGGAGCAGAAUGGAUUGAGUUUUCCAGGAAGGUGUUCUACAGAUUAAGAAUAUACAAAUGAACUUCUCUACCAAUUAAAAUAAUCACAGAAGUCCAAAGAGGCAAAUCUGGAGUAGCAGGUGAUUGAGAUGUGGGGUAGCUGGAGUAAACCAGGGGCAAAUUAGAAGAUUGCCUGAUCCAUCAUUGCAGUGAGCAGGAGAUGUAAGCCAAAAAUACUUACCAGUCAGUUAGCUCAGCCUUAAAUGCUACUGAAUGUGGGCCAGGCUAGACAGGAACUAUGCGGGGUUAAUCUUGAUUUGAAUCUAGGCAAUGGGGAAUGGAAACUUAUGUUUCUCUACCAAGCGAUAAGCUUUUGGUUCUUAUGCACAAUUUCCAUUUUGCCUUCUCAUUCCGCAUACCACUGAUUUUUACCAAUUGCUCUUGUAAUUGACUUUUGCUACUGGAAGAAACUCCUAGAAUGUUGGAAUUUCUCUAUUACAUGUUUUACCCCAAAGAAUGUGUCAAUCAGCGCCAAAGCAAUAGUCUUGGGGCAGACAGCCAACUUGCAUCUGAUGACAGCAUUGCAGUAGAGGUCGCAAUAUGCUGACUUCAGAGUGAGCACAAGACUCAAGACAGAGAUCCUGGAGGGACAGCCUGGGGCAGAUGGGACGGGCAAGCAGGGUAUUUGCCUCAUAGCUCAGAGAAGGCUACUGGCUGGAAAAUACUAACCCUUUGUUCUUUCCUGUUCCCCCAUGUGGGUGAAAUGUUGCUCAUAACUGGAUUUCUAAGUCUGAUAGCCUAAAGCAAGCUUUGGCCCGAUGACUUUUAUGGACAUUUGUGUUUACUUCAUCAAAGUGGAAGUAAUAAUAAGAAUUAUAGGAAUUUGGGAUCCCUGGGUGGCUCAGCGGUUUAGCGCCUGUCUUUGGCCCAGGGCGCGAUCCUGGGACCCCAGGAUCGAGUCCCAUGUCGGGCUCCUGGCAUGGAGCCUGUCUCUCCCUCUGCCUGUGUAUUUGCCUCUCUCUCUCUCUA